Molecule: unclassified non-coding RNA, 405 nt
Filed under: Hevea brasiliensis (rubber tree)
Lineage: Eukaryota; Viridiplantae; Streptophyta; Magnoliopsida; Malpighiales; Euphorbiaceae
Source: RNAcentral
AUUUUUGUAAGGAAGGUCAAAUUGAUAGAUGUUAUAAUUAGAUAAGACUGCACAAAGUGGAUAGGUGAUUUUGGAGUAUUAUCUAAGUACAAAGUAAUUCUGGAAACUUGGGAGGAAGAAGAAUUGAUGGGAAUGAGAAAGCAAAGGAUGAGGGAGCGAAGGUAAAAAGUGGCUUUCAUCCUAGGAUGGGAAUUUUUAUAUGCUUAUGUAACGGUGGGAUCAGUAACAAAGAUGUGUACUAGAUAGCACAUAUUCCUGUUAUAGCCUGAUUUCAAGGCUUUCAUUUUCAGCAUCAAACAUUGAGAUUCUAUGUUCAGUAACUGUAGUAAUUAAUAAUAGAACCCAAGUGUGUGACUUGCUCAGAUUUAUGAUUACCCUAAGGUGCGGCUCAUAUUAUAGAUCCUG